Molecule: ribosomal RNA, 427 nt
Filed under: uncultured bacterium
Lineage: Bacteria
Description: partial 16S ribosomal RNA
Rfam family: Bacterial small subunit ribosomal RNA
Source: RNAcentral
GUGAGGAAUCUUCCACAAUGGGCGAAAGUCUGAUGGAGCAACGCCGCGUGAAGGAUGAAGGUCUUCGGAUUGUAAACUUCUUUUAUGAGUGAAGAAUAUGACGGUAACUCAUGAAUAAGCACCGGCUAACUACGUGCCAGCAGCCGCGGUCAUACGUAGGGUGCAAGCAUUAUCCGGAGUGACUGGGCGUAAAGAGUUGCGUAGGCGGUUAUGUAAGCGAAUAGUGAAACCUGGUGGCUCAACCACACAGACUAUUAUUCGAACUGCAUAACUCGAGAAUGGUAGAGGUAACUGGAAUUUCUUGUGUAGGAGUGAAAUCCGUAGAUAUAAGAAGGAACACCAAUGGCGUAGGCAGGUUACUGGGCCAUUUCUGACGCUAAGGCACGAAAGCGUGGGGAGCGAACCGGAUUAGAAACCCCAGUAGUCC